This 1279-nucleotide ribosomal RNA is filed under the name Diabrotica virgifera virgifera (western corn rootworm). RNAcentral describes it as "bacterial SSU rRNA". The stretch from base 609 to 1279 matches the Rfam family "Eukaryotic small subunit ribosomal RNA", at positions 1118 to 1823 of the family's 1831-position model. Lineage: Eukaryota; Metazoa; Arthropoda; Insecta; Coleoptera; Chrysomelidae. The record is from RNAcentral.
GGAUCGAUAGGCCACGCUUUCGCGGUCUGUAUUAGUACUGAAAAUCAAGAUCAAGUGGGCUUUUGCCCUUUUGCUCUACGAGAGGUUUCCGUCCCCUCUGAGCACACCUUAGGACACCUACGUUACGUUUUGAUAGAUGUACCGCCCCAGUCAAACUCCCGGCCUGACACUGUCUUCGGUCCGAGUCGUCAAGGCACCGAGUGCCGAGACUUAACACCAGAAGGAAGGAGAACGAGCUCCAAUCCUCGCAUUACCGAAUAAGUAAAGAAUCGAUGAAAGUAGUGGUAUUUCAAUUGCGACCGAAGUCUCCCACUUAUACUACGUCUCUCAAGACUCGUCACAGAGUCAAACUAGAGUCAAACUCAACAGGGUCUUCUUUCCCCGCUGUUUUUUCCAAGCCCGUUCCCUUGGCUGUGGUUUCGCUAGAUAGUAGAUAGGGACAGUGGGAAUCUCGUUAAUCCAUUCAUGCGCGUCACUAAUUAGAUGACGAGGCAUUUGGCUACCUUAAGAGAGUCAUAGUUACUCCCGCCGUUUACCCGCGCUUAAGCAGAUUACUCCACGUUAACAUUCAGAGCACUGGGCAGAAAUCAGAGAUAGUCAACGUCCGCAAGGACCAUCUACUGAAACUUAAAGGAAUUGACGGAAGGGCACCACCAGGAGUGGAGCCUGCGGCUUAAUUUGACUCAACACGGGAAAUCUCACCCGGACCGGACACUAUAAUGAUUGACAGAUUGAUAGUUCUUUCUUGAUUUGGUGGUUGGUGGUGCAUGGCCGUUCUUAGUUCGUGGAUUGAUCUGUCUGGUUUAUUCCGAUAACGAACGAGACUCUAACCUGCUAACUAGUGGUGCGAUAGUUUGGUCGUAUCUACUUCUUAGAGGGAUAAGCGGUGUUCAACCGCAUGAGAUUGAGUAAUAACAGGUCUGUGAUGCCCUUAGAUGUUCGGGGCUGCACGCGCGCUACACUGGAAAGUGCAGCAAGCGUUUUUAACCUUGGCCGAAAGGUCUGGGUAAUCUUUUGAAAGCUUUUCGUGUUUGGAAUAGAGGAUUGAAAUUAUUUCUCUUGAACGAGGAAUUCCCAGUAAGUAUGAGUCAUUAGCUCAUGCUGAUUACGUCCCUGCCCUUUGUACACACCGCCCGUCGCUGCCCGGGACUGAGUUGCCUCGAGAAAUGCGGGGACUUUCGGCGUUGAGUUUCUCUUCGCUGAUGGGAACCGCAUUAAUCGCAGUGGCUUGAACCGGGCAAAAGUCGUAACAAGGUGCGAUUAGGAGAACCUGACCGCG